This 459-nucleotide ribosomal RNA is filed under the name uncultured bacterium. RNAcentral's name for it is "partial 16S ribosomal RNA". It matches the Rfam family "Bacterial small subunit ribosomal RNA", at positions 28 to 523 of the family's 1533-position model. The record is from RNAcentral.
GAUGAACGCUGGCGGCGUGCCUAAAACAUGCAAGUCGAGCGGUAAGGCCACUUCGGUGGUACACGAGCGGCGGACGGCUGAGUAACACGUAGGAACGUACCCCAAACUGAGGGAUAAGCACCGGAAACGGUGUCUAAUACCGCAUGUGCUCUUCGGAGUAAAGCUACGGCGGUUUGGGAACGGCCUGCGCAUGAUUAGCUUGUUGGUGAGGUAAUGGCUCACCAAGGCGACGAUCAUUAGCUGGUCUGAGAGGAUGAUCAGCCAGACUGGGACUGAGACACGGCCCAGACUCCUACGGGAGGCAGCAGUUAGGAAUCUUCCACAAUGGGCGAAAGCCUGAUGGAGCAACGCCGCGUGCAGGAUGAAUGCCUUCGGGUUGUAAACUGCUUUUAUCUGUGACGAUUAUGACGGUAGCAGAUGAAUAAGGAUCGGCUAACUCCGUGCCAGCCGCCGCCGUAA